AUGGUCUGAAAGGUAUUAAUAACAGCACCCCUACAGUAGACAAUACUGCCCGUAACGCCACGGAACUCAUUACGGUCGGUAAGUUCAGCGGAAAUCAUAUGUAUUUGCACGGUGAUAUUAACAACGCGAAUAAUUUAGAAAUAGCCCUGAAUCUCAAAUCGAUAUCAAAUCUGGGAUUUCGCUCCUCUGAAUUCGCCAGCCUGCUUACACAGAUGGCGCGGAAGUUUAAAAUGACCAGUGAUGCCAAAUAUUCGAAUCUUUCCGCGUUUCGUUGAUAUGGAAAUCAUUCUAUAUAUAGUCUCCGACUUGACCCUAUAAACUCCUCCGCACAAAAUAUAAACACCACUACAGUUUAUCAUAAUAUUUCACCACAGUCACUGCCAUGCACGCUUCUAACGGUUUUUUUUUUGAAGGUCCAGCCAGUAACGACCAUUGUCCUCAUGCACUCGGAAACAAUGUACCCUUCAUGUGGCGUCAAGAAUUGAUAUUCAUGUCGAUUUGUACCAAAUGAUGGCGAUAUAUGGCACAGUGAUCGCGACCCUAGCAGUAAAAGCGUGGCAGCAGCAAUACAAAAGUAGCUCGUACUGCCACGAAGCGGCCUGCUCUUUGCCGUUGUUAUUGCCAUGCGCAUUGGCUUUCAGCGUUCCACCCGUUUUCAAUCACAAACAACGAAAAGAGGCUCAACUAUGAGAUAAAAUGUAGGGAUAGCGUAUAGCUUGUGAAACACUACAGUCAACUGCUGGCGUCCCUGCUGAAAGCGUUGCCUUCGUGGCUAGUUCGUUUUAGGAGGCAAAUCGGAAGGGCAUCUGGGCGAUAAGAUAAGAAUGUAACGUAAAAAGAACUGCGAAGCUAAACAAACUUUCGGAAACGCCAACGAUGGCAAGGAAUUCUUGUGAACUACAGUCUCGUUUUGCUUUUGGGUUCCAUCAGACGAGUGGCUAGCCUCCAGCGUGAACAUCUAUGAACAUAGAGAUGUCUCAUCACGGUCCAUAGCUAGCCUGAGUUACGGAUUUACUGAAGAUUUGAUUCAGAAGUCAUUGGGUGAAUGGACAUCCGAACGGCGGCUAUUUUCAAAGGGAUUUAUCCUGGUGCACUGAAUGCUCGAGAGCAAUGGGUAUCUUAACUCGCACAUAAGUAGAAGAUACAUUUGUAUGGUAACUUUCCACUAACGACAAAGCAGGAUUCCACUUAAAGCAGCCGUGACAAAAGUAAUUAAGGGCAGAAUUGCUAUUGAUCGUGCACUUUGUCUGCCUUCUGCCUGCACCUCCUCCCCCCCCCCCUCUGCGAUGCCCCUUUGACGUUUGUGAUAUAGGCUAUGAGAAGCUGGUACUCCAAAACGAAGCUGUGGUUACGAAUCAAGGGGUUUUUUUAUGCUUUUUCAAGGAGACGCGCAUCGUUGGAGUUCUUGAUGGCGAAGAACAAGCAAUGGAUUUAUUAUAUAUUGUGGAUUCCAAUAUAUAACAAUAAAACAUCAAUGCUA
Varroa destructor (honeybee mite) is the source of this 1480-nucleotide long non-coding RNA. RefSeq lists it as uncharacterized. Lineage: Eukaryota; Metazoa; Arthropoda; Arachnida; Mesostigmata; Varroidae. The record is from RefSeq and is a predicted model, not a curated record.